UGAAUAAGCACCGGCUAACUCCGUGCCAGCAGCCGCGGUAAUACGGAGGGUGCAAGCGUUAUUCGGAAUCACUGGGCGUAAAGGACGCGUAGGCGGGAUGCCAAGUCUGAUGUGAAAUCCUAUGGCUCAACCAUAGAACUGCAUUGGAAACUGGUAACCUAGAGUAUGGGAGGGGGAGAUGGAAUUAGUGGUGUAGGGGUAAAAUCCGUAGAUAUCACUAGGAAUACCGAAAGCGAAGGCGAUCUCCUGGAACAAUACUGACGCUAAGGCGUGAAAGCGUGGGGAGCAAACGGGAUUAGAUACCCCGGUAGUCCACGCCCUAAACGAUGAACACUAGUCGUCGGGAUGCUAGUCAUCUCGGUGAUGCACUUAACAGAUUAAUUCCGCCUGGGGAGUACGGUCGCAAGAUUAAAACUCAAAGGAAUAGACGGGGACCCGCACAAGUGGUGGAGCAUGUGGUUUAAUUCGAAGAUACGCGAAGAACCUUACCUAGCCUUGACAUAUUUUAGAACACCGUAGAGAUACAGUGGUGCCUUCGGGAGCUAAUUUACAGGUGCUGCACGGCUGUCGUCAGCUCGUGUCGUGAGAUGUUGGGUUAAGUCCCGCAACGAGCGCAACCCUCGUCACUAGUUACUAACGGUUCGGCCGAGGACUCUAGUGAGACUGCCUUCGUAAGGAGGAGGAAGGUGAGGACGACGUCAAGUCAUCAUGGCCCUUACGGCUAGGGCAACACACGUGCUACAAUGGCCAGGACAGUGAGACGCGAUACCGCGAGGUGGAGCAAAUCUAUAAACCUGGUCUCAGUUCGGAUUGUAGUCUGCAACUCGACUACAUGAAGCUGGAAUCACUAGUAAUCGUAGAUCAGCUAUGCUACGGUGAAUACGUUCCCGGGUCUUGUACUCACCGCCCGUCACACCAUGGGAGUUGAUUUCACCCGAAGCGGGGAAGCUAAACUG
Molecule: ribosomal RNA, 956 nt
Filed under: marine sediment metagenome
Description: bacterial SSU rRNA
Rfam family: Bacterial small subunit ribosomal RNA
Source: RNAcentral